This 469-nucleotide ribosomal RNA is filed under the name uncultured soil bacterium. RNAcentral describes it as "bacterial SSU rRNA". It matches the Rfam family "Bacterial small subunit ribosomal RNA", at positions 26 to 479 of the family's 1533-position model. The record is from RNAcentral.
AGAUUGAACGCUGGCGGCAGGCCUAACACAUGCAAGUCGAGCGGCAGCACGGGUACUUGUACCUGGUGGCGAGCGGCGGACGGGUGAGUAAUGCCUAGGAAUCUGCCUGGUAGUGGGGGAUAACGCUCGGAAACGGACGCUAAUACCGCAUACGUCCUACGGGAGAAAGCAGGGGACCUUCGGGCCUUGCGCUAUCAGAUGAGCCUAGGUCGGAUUAGCUAGUUGGUGAGGUAAUGGCUCACCAAGGCGACGAUCCGUAACUGGUCUGAGAGGAUGAUCAGUCACACUGGAACUGAGACACGGUCCAGACUCCGUACGGGAGCAGCAGGUGGGGAAUAGUUGGACAAGUGGGACGAAAGCCUGACUCCAGCCAUCGCCGCGUGUGGUAGAAGUAACGGUCUUACGGAGUUACGUAAAGCUAACGUUUUAAGGUGGGAAGGAAGGCUAAGUUACCUAAAGUUACGUAUUC